This 364-nucleotide ribosomal RNA is filed under the name Linuparus meridionalis. RNAcentral describes it as "partial 12S ribosomal RNA". The record is from RNAcentral. Lineage: Eukaryota; Metazoa; Arthropoda; Malacostraca; Decapoda; Palinuridae.
CCCUAUUAUACCAGAGGAUAAUAGGGAGAAGCUAGAGUAGUAAGAGUAAAUAGGCUCGAAAUUCAAAGAAUUUGGCGGUAUUUUAGUCUAGUUGGAGGAACCUGUUUUAUAAACGAUAUACCACGUAAAAUUUUUCUUAUUCUUGUAAAGUUAGUAUACCUUCAUUAUUAGAUAAUGUUGAGAGAUAUUGUUGAAAUCAAAGAUUUUUGAGUAUAUUAGAUCACGGUGCUGCCUAUGGAUAAGUAUAAAUGGGUUACAAUAAAAAUUUAUUUAAACGGAACUUGGGGUUAAAUUACUAGUGAAGGAGGAUUCAAUUGUAAUUUAGAAUUUAGUAGGGCUAGGUGAUAACAGCUCUAAAAUGUGU